GAGAAAAUUUUUAUAUUCUCACCUCUUGUUCCCAUUGGGUGAAAAAGAGUUUUUUCUCUUUGCAACUGUCAGUUUGUAUUGGUUUUAUAAAAUGGUGAAACAAAUUGAUGGGUUUGUUUCGUGGAUACAGUUAUUCACGCCACGCACGGAUGAAAUAAAAAAUGUCUAAAAUAUUCUC
Molecule: long non-coding RNA, 178 nt
Organism: Bradysia coprophila
Lineage: Eukaryota; Metazoa; Arthropoda; Insecta; Diptera; Sciaridae
Source: RefSeq, a predicted model, not a curated record